GGCAGCAGCAACAGCAGCCCUUAAUGAGAUUGGCAUGACCAUCACACAUGAGGAGGGAAUACACGACCUGUCUGUGCUGCCCUAAACACACACAAACACACAAACAAAAAGCCGGGCCCACCUCCCCUGGCCGCUGGCCUCACUGCAGUCUCUGCUCUGAUUGGUCAAAGCAAACAGAGGGGUGGGCUUUGAAUGCCCAUAGGUUUAGAGCCUGAGGGCUUUUAUGCAAUAUGGGGGAAAAAAGAGUUAGAGUUACAUCAUAUAGUUCUAUAUAGUUCAGUGUGCUGCAGUGUCAGAGUGAAGGCUGCAGCGUGUCCUGAAGCAGAGGCCACAGAUGCAGCUCAGCAGCUCCCACUGGUCAUGAAUGAAGAGCCGCCACUCUGCAGACAGCAGAGCAGGAAGAGACUGACUUCAUCUACCCUCACACGGCUGUUCUGCUCUCCUGCUUUGACAUUUGCAAAUUUCUGCUACCUGGGCUUUGACUAGGCCAAAGGUCUCCAUCUCCAGUUCUUGGGGGCUACUGCCCUGCAACCUUCAGAGUGAAGCCCUACCCAUUUGAUGACGGGUCCAUUGACCCCUGAGUGUCGCUGUUCUCUGGCAGCUGUAAC
Xiphophorus maculatus (southern platyfish) is the source of this 608-nucleotide long non-coding RNA. RefSeq lists it as uncharacterized. The transcript is spliced from 3 exons. The record is from RefSeq and is a predicted model, not a curated record. Lineage: Eukaryota; Metazoa; Chordata; Actinopteri; Cyprinodontiformes; Poeciliidae.